This 324-nucleotide ribosomal RNA is filed under the name Malcolmiella cinereovirens. RNAcentral describes it as "SSU rRNA". It matches the Rfam family "Bacterial small subunit ribosomal RNA", at positions 372 to 748 of the family's 1533-position model. The record is from RNAcentral. Lineage: Eukaryota; Fungi; Ascomycota; Lecanoromycetes; Lecanorales; Pilocarpaceae.
UAGCCUAACGGCUGAACCAGCAACUUGGAGGAAUGUAUAGCAAUAGCUAGUUAUAUCGACUAUGUCGAGUAAAAUUCUAGGUGGAAUAUGAUGAUGACAUUAUCUACUUAGUCUUGACCAAAUUUCGUGCCAGCAGUCGCGGUAAUACGUAGAAGACGAGUGUUAUUCAUGUUUAAUUGGUUUAAAGGGUACUUAGACGGUAAAUUAAGCCACUAAUUUAUAGAGUUUUAUGUAAGGGAGUAUUAAAGUACUUGGAGAGAUGAAAUUCUGUUAUACCAGCACAGAUUAAGGCGAAGGCGUCUCCUUAUGUAACAACUGACGUUG